AGAGUUUGAUUAUGGCUCAGGAUGAACGCUAGCGGCAGGCUUAACACAUGCAAGUCGAGGGGCAUCGUGGAGUAGCAAUACUCUGACGGCGACCGGCGAAAGGGUGAGUAACGCGUGAGCAACAUGCCCGUAGUUGGGGGAUAGUCGAUGGAAACGUCGCGUAAUACCCCGUAACAACAGAGGCCGCAUGACCUUUGUUUAAGAGAUUUAUUGUCUACGGAUUGGCUCGCGUACCAUUAGCUAGUUGGCGGGGUAACGGCCCACCAAGGCGACGAUGGUUAGGGGUUCUGAGAGGAAGGUCCCCCACAUUGGAACUGAGACACGGUCCAGACUCCUACGGGAGGCAGCGGUGAGGAAUAUUGGUCAAUGGCCGAGAGGCUGAACCAGCCAUGCCGCGUGCCGGGAUGACGGCCCUAUGGGUUGUAAACCGCUUUUGUUGGGGAGCAAUAAGGUUCACGCGUGGACUGAUGAGAGUACCCAGCGAAUAAGCAUCGGCUAACUCCGUGCCAGCCGCUGC
RNAcentral lists this ribosomal RNA (517 nucleotides) under uncultured bacterium. RNAcentral describes it as "bacterial SSU rRNA". It matches the Rfam family "Bacterial small subunit ribosomal RNA", at positions 8 to 518 of the family's 1533-position model. The record is from RNAcentral.